CAGAGGCUGUUAUCACUUGAAGGGCUGGAGUCUUGACUAUUGCUGUUUUCUGAGAGUGGAUGUAGCCUGCCCCGGGGCGAUGAUAUUAGUGCAUAGAACAUGGCUCACUGCUGCACAAAAGGUGGACAAAUCAGAGUCAUAUAACUUGCAGUGAUUUGUGCUGGUAUGUGUUCUGCAUGGAAUACUUCCACAGUUACCAGGGGGUAUGUAGAAAGAUCCAAAUAACCUAACGGCUGAGCAGUGAUGACAUCAGAGUGGCUGACCAAUUGCACGAAGGCAACUACAAAGCACAACAUUCAAAAAUGACUUCACUGAAGAACAAAAGACAAGACCCGCUGAAAUCCCUUAAAAUCCCUGCAGUGAAAUUCUUGAAAGCCUCUUACUACUCCUGUUUCCCUCCUUGAUAUUUUACCUCCAGCUUUUUUCUACAAAAUACAAAAAAAAAAAAAAAAAAAAGCAGACAGACUCAUACUCAUGAGAUGGAUGACAACGCCAGACACUGGAAGGACUAUCUCUUUAGUGGGAAGAUCACUGAUGCAUGCUUCUGUAAAUAGAUCAUAA
Long non-coding RNA from Xiphias gladius (swordfish), 561 nucleotides. RefSeq lists it as uncharacterized. The record is from RefSeq and is a predicted model, not a curated record. NCBI's taxonomy places the organism in Eukaryota, Metazoa, Chordata, Actinopteri, Istiophoriformes, Xiphiidae. The transcript has 3 exons.